RNAcentral lists this ribosomal RNA (374 nucleotides) under uncultured eukaryote. Its description in RNAcentral is "partial 18S ribosomal RNA". It matches the Rfam family "Eukaryotic small subunit ribosomal RNA", at positions 592 to 976 of the family's 1831-position model. The record is from RNAcentral.
CAAGAGCGUAUGUAAAAGUUGUUGCAGUUAAAAAGCUCGUAGUUGAACCUUGGGUUUGGUUGGCCGGUCCGCUUUUUUGCGAGUACUGGAUUCAACCGAGCCUUUCCUUCUGGCUAACCAGUCGUUUCGGCGGCUGGCGAACCAGGAUUUUUACUUUGAGAAAAUUAGAGUGUUCAAAGCAGGCAUUAGCUUGAAUAUAUUAGCAUGGAAUAAUAGAGUAGGACGUUAUGGUUCUAUUUUGUUGGUUUCUAGGACCAUCGUAAUGAUUAAUAGGGACGGUCGGGGGCAUCAGUAUUCAGUUGUCAGAGGUGAAAUUCUUGGAUUUACUGAAGACUAACUACUGCGAAAGCAUUUGCCAAGGACGUUUUCAUUAA